UACAGAGGUCUCAACCGUUGUUCGGAUUCAUUGGGCGUAAAGGGUGCGUAGGCGGUCGCGUAAGUCAGGUGUGAAAGCCCCGGGCUCAACCUGGGAAUUGCAUUUGAGACUGCGUAGCUAGGGUGCGGAAGAGGGAAGCGGAAUUUCCGGUGUAGCGGUGAAAUGCGUAGAUAUCGGAAGGAACACCAGUGGCGAAAGCGGCUUCCUGGUCCAGCACCGACGUCAGGCACGAAAGCGUGGGGAGCAAACAGG
This 252-nucleotide ribosomal RNA is filed under the name uncultured bacterium. Its description in RNAcentral is "partial 16S ribosomal RNA". It matches the Rfam family "Bacterial small subunit ribosomal RNA", at positions 524 to 776 of the family's 1533-position model. The record is from RNAcentral.